Molecule: ribosomal RNA, 234 nt
Filed under: uncultured bacterium
Lineage: Bacteria
Description: partial 16S ribosomal RNA
Rfam family: Bacterial small subunit ribosomal RNA
Source: RNAcentral
UACCCUUGACAUGCCACUAACGAAGCAUAGAUGCAUUAGGUGCUCGAAAGAGAAAGUGGACACAGGUGCUGCAUGGCUGUCGUCAGCUCGUGUCGUGAGAUGUUGGGUUAAGUCCCGCAACGAGCGCAACCCUUGUCUCUAGUUGCUACGAAAGGGCACUCUAGAGAGACUGCCGGUGACAAACCGGAGGAAGGUGGGGAUGACGUCAAGUCCUCAUGGCCCUUAUGGGUAGGG